Molecule: long non-coding RNA, 2550 nt
Filed under: Homo sapiens (human)
Lineage: Eukaryota; Metazoa; Chordata; Mammalia; Primates; Hominidae
Description: non-protein coding lnc-KLHL24-5:1
Source: RNAcentral
CAACGUUAAAAAUUCUAUUGAGCACUUUCAUUUUUCAGAAUAAAACAGGAUAAGCAAAUAACUCACAACAGUACCUCAUAGUCUUCUAUAAAUAGCUAAGCUAUACUUUACAGCUAUAAGAACGUGAUAUUUGUAUUUCCCUGAGAGCGUAGUUUGCUUUGAGUUCAAGGGCAUGGUGUAUGUGUAUAUGUGUGUUUCCCGAAGCCAUUGAGACCAGAAUAGAUGAAAGCUAAGACGAGAACAUGAAUCUGUUGGUGUUCUGAUGAGCUUAGCUCCCUGCCUGUUUCAGAUCAACCUUGGCAACUGGAGUCCCUUAACCUCAUCUACAGAUUCCGCUCCACCAAAGACUCUGGGCCACCUUCCCUCUAGGACAGGAGACCCAGCUGAGCAGCUCAGAGGCCCCACAGUAAGUUGGCCCAAAUGCUGGGCCUGCUCUAACUUGUGCCUCUGCUCUAAGAAGGGGAUUCCUUCCUUAGUUCCUUGCCUAGAAUACUCCCUUACCCUUAUUCUCCCUCACCCUUCUUGGGACUAGAGCCAAGCUCACAAACUCCAGGGCCUCCGAUAUCAUUUUCCAGACCUGCAUCCUUGGAACCUGACCUCCUCCUACCCCAUCUUCUUCUUCCCAGCCAGGGGUGCUCUGUCCACUCACAGGCCCUGCCUCAGUCUCCAGUCUGCUGUGCCAGAACAUCCUGCCAUGUCCUGCCUGAGUCCGAGGGUUCUUUGUCUCUGGGUUUAUUCUCAGCUUGGCUUUCCCCCUGCUGAUGGUGUGGGUUAUAACAGUUACCUUCCUGCAAAUGUGUUCGUCUUUAUUUCUUGAAAUGGAUUUUAGAUUUUAGAAGUUCUCAUCCUUGGCUGGUGCCUAGAAGCUAAAACCCUGAUGACUAUUCUUAAGUUUCCCCCAAAUGACUUGAACUUUCUUUCUCGAAGAGCUACAGACUGGCAGCUUCAUAUACAGAACCCUAGACCUUCUAACCAGGUGUAUCUGUUCCCUACCCAUGCCAUUAUUAGGAAUCCCUAUUUCUUGAGUGUCAGCUACAUGACAUUUUCCACAAUUCACCUGCAUAUCUGGUGUUGUAAAAAAUCAUAAAGAGUGUUUCCAUGAUUCAUUUAGGUAUUCUGAAGUAGUCCAGAAACUUGGGUCCUACAUUUAGAAUCAGGUUUAUAGCACAGAAAUCCCAAAUCCUCACUUUCCCAGCAUAGGGUUGACCUGCUGAUGGGCUCGAAGUUUGCCUAUGGGUCUUAUCAAAGGACCGCCAUCCCCUCCCUGACUAGGGGCGCUGUCUUUUUGAAGGGAGGCUCCCUGUGUAUGCCAGUACCAUUGUCAUUGGAUUUCCUCUCUGGAAGUUCCUCCCUGCAAUAGUCUUUGGAGUAAGACUGACUUUUCCUUCACAAAUCAGUUCACAAAUGGUUCUGGUGGCGAUCUCAAAGAGACAAACAUGUAAGCCAUGGCCACUGGUUGACUUCACUGCACAGCUUACCACCUUGACCCCCUGAAAGGCAAUCAAGACUUGGAUCCAGCCUCCUCACUUCAUACGCAUCUCAUUUUUAGCUAACUUGAAGAAAAUAAAAACAAGAAUAUUAACUGGUGGCCUAUUUACCUGUAUUGAGUGUCUAGCGUGGAGAUUUGCCAUUCGUGGGUGUCCUCAAGGCUUGACAGACAUGAAGAACUCCAUGAAUGUUUGCUGAAUUGAACUAGAUUACACUGUUACAUUGCUUCAGUUGGGAGCUUCCUGAUGGUUAUUAUAGUGCUCAUGAGUCAGCAAUAGUUUGUUCUAAAAUUCCACAAAUAUGUUUCUAUUGCCCUGUGUUACUUUCCACAGCAGAGAGCUGAACUGUCACGCUUCUAAGGCACAGAGCAUUUCACACACCAACAUACAUUUAUAUUUAUCUUCAAUAAUCUGGCAUAAACAGAAAUCUCACCUGUAAUUUUUCAAGUUUUUAAAAUCUGUUUCAAAUAUUAGCUUCUUCUAACCGUGACUGUUUAAUGAAAAUUCAAUUCACUAUCAACUCUAAUAACUAACUUCCCAAACUGCUGAAAAGAACAAGCCACACCGGAUAUGAAAUAAAACUCUAUAAAGAGAAUUGAAAUCAUAUGAUGAAAAUAAAGUCCAUUGGGUAACGCAGUUACUAUGUUGUUAUCAUUGUUGCUUUUUAAAUACAGCAUAUGAAACAGGAUCUCUUAACCUGUUUCUCCAGCUUGGGGAUUAGAAUGAAUUUCCAGUGAGCUCAUUUGAAAGCUGUAGCUCUUACAGUGAAGGACAGAUUCUGUUCUUUAAGUCACAAUUGAGCUACACUGAUCAAAAAACCAAGUAGAAGUGCUUUUUAAAAGUCUUGAAAACGAAGGCUUCAGGAGGAUGGGGUAUCAGGAACGUGGACCUAAAUCACUGUGUAAAAACUAGAAAGUGUACCAUCAAGGAGAAUCUGUCGCUCCUGUGUAGGCCAGCUGUGCUCAGGUGUUUACUUUUUUAAUAAAACAGUAGUUUGAGUCUCUAGAGACAUCUUGUCUAUAUUGCAGUACAACUGGUGAACACUAAGAGGCCAGGGCACCAG